Molecule: ribosomal RNA, 486 nt
Filed under: uncultured bacterium
Lineage: Bacteria
Description: bacterial SSU rRNA
Rfam family: Bacterial small subunit ribosomal RNA
Source: RNAcentral
GAUGAACGCUAGCGACAGGCUUAACACAUGCAAGUCGAGGGGCAGCACAGGGUAGCAAUACUUGGGUGGCGACCGGCGCACGGGUGAGUAACGCGUAUGCAACUUACCUAUCAGAGGGGGAUAGCCCGGCGAAAGUCGGAUUAAUACCCCAUGAAACAGGGGUCCCGCAUGGGAAUAUUUGUUAAAGAUUCAUCGCUGAUAGAUAGGCAUGCGUUCCAUUAGGCAGUUGGCGGGGUAACGGCCCACCAAACCGACGAUGGAUAGGGGUUCUGAGAGGAAGGUCCCCCACAUUGGUACUGAGACACGGACCAAACUCCUACGGGAGGCAGCAGUGAGGAAUAUUGGUCAAUGGGCGAGAGCCUGAACCAGCCAAGUAGCGUGCAGGAUGACGGCCCUAUGGGUUGUAAACUGCUUUUAUAAGGGAAUAAAGUGGAGUCGUGACUCUUUUUGCAUGUACCUUAUGAAUAAGGACCGGCUAAUUCCGUG